UUCCGGAUGAUGAAUUCCAAAUAGGAUGAAACGCGUGUCCUGGAU
This 45-nucleotide non-coding RNA is filed under the name Schistosoma mansoni. The record is from RNAcentral. Lineage: Eukaryota; Metazoa; Platyhelminthes; Trematoda; Strigeidida; Schistosomatidae.